RNAcentral lists this transfer RNA (26 nucleotides) under Apodemus speciosus (large Japanese field mouse). RNAcentral describes it as "partial tRNA-Pro". Lineage: Eukaryota; Metazoa; Chordata; Mammalia; Rodentia; Muridae. The record is from RNAcentral.
CAAGAAGUAGUUUAACUAGAAUAUCA